AGGCGCAUAGCUCAGCUGGUUAGAGCACGGCUCUUAUAAAGCCGGGGUCCUGGGUUCGAGUCCCAGUGCGCCUACCA
RNAcentral lists this transfer RNA (77 nucleotides) under Candidatus Komeilibacteria bacterium RIFCSPLOWO2_02_FULL_48_11. RNAcentral's name for it is "tRNA-Ile". It matches the Rfam family "tRNA". From Rfam's summary of the family: Transfer RNA (tRNA) molecules are approximately 80 nucleotides in length. Their secondary structure includes four short double-helical elements and three loops (D, anti-codon, and T loops). Further hydrogen bonds mediate the characteristic L-shaped molecular structure. tRNAs have two regions of fundamental functional importance: the anti-codon, which is responsible for specific mRNA codon recognition, and the 3' end, to which the tRNAs corresponding amino acid is attached (by aminoacyl-tRNA synthetases). tRNAs cope with the degeneracy of the genetic code in two manners: having more than one tRNA (with a specific anti-codon) for a particular amino acid; and 'wobble' base-pairing, i.e. permitting non-standard base-pairing at the 3rd anti-codon position. Lineage: Bacteria; Candidatus Komeiliibacteriota. The record is from RNAcentral.